UGGGGAAUAUUGCACAAUGGGCGCAAGCCUGAUGCAGCCAUGCCGCGUGUAUGAAGAAGGCCUUCGGGUUGUAAAGUACUUUCAGCGGGGAGGAAGGCGAUAAGGUUAAUAACCUUGUCGAUUGACGUUACCCGCAGAAGAAGCACCGGCUAACUCCGUGCCAGCAGCCGCGGUAAUAAGGAGGGAGCCAGCGUUAAUCGGAAUUACUGGGCGUAAAGCGCACGCAGGCGGUCUGUCAAGUCGGAUGUGAAAUCCCCGGGCUCAACCUGGGAACUGCAUUCGAAACUGGCAGGCUAGAGUCUUGUAGAGGGGGGUAGAAUUCCAGGUGUAGCGGUGAAAUGCGUAGAGAUCUGGAGGAAUACCGGUGGCGAAGGCGGCCCCCUGGACAAAGACUGACGCUCAGGUGCGAAAGCGUGGGGAGCAAACA
Molecule: ribosomal RNA, 427 nt
Filed under: uncultured bacterium
Lineage: Bacteria
Description: partial 16S ribosomal RNA
Rfam family: Bacterial small subunit ribosomal RNA
Source: RNAcentral